CAGCCGCCGCGGUAAUACGUAGGGGGCGAGCGUUGUCCGGAAUUAUUGGGCGUAAAGCGCGCGCAGGCGGUCCUUUAAGUCUGAUGUGAAAGCCCACGGCUCAACCGUGGAGGGUCAUUGGAAACUGGGGGACUUGAGUGCAGGAGAGGAGAGCGGAAUUCCACGUGUAGCGGUGAAAUGCGUAGAGAUGGGGAGGAACACCAGUGGCGAAGGCGGCUCUCUGGCCUGUAACUGACGCUGAGGCGCGAAAGCGUGGGGAGCAAACAGGAUUAGAUACCCUGGUAGUCCACGCCGUAAACGAUGAGUGCUAAGUGUUAGAGGGGUCACACCCUUUAGUGCUGCAGCUAACGCGAUAAGCACUCCGCCUGGGGAGUACGGCCGCAAGGCUGAAACUUAAAGGAAUUGGCGGG
RNAcentral lists this ribosomal RNA (410 nucleotides) under uncultured microorganism. RNAcentral's name for it is "bacterial SSU rRNA". It matches the Rfam family "Bacterial small subunit ribosomal RNA", at positions 509 to 917 of the family's 1533-position model. The record is from RNAcentral.